UAUAUAUAUUCCUUAUUUGGAGAGAGAGAAGAGAAUAUUAAAUGAAAGUUAAAGUUUUAGUGAGAGCACUUUCAAACUUUCAAAUAUAGUAUAUUUUACUCAUAAUUUAAAAUAUUAAAAAUUAAAAAAAUUUUAGAAAUGUAUAAUUAUUAAAUUCAAGUUUAAAAUUAUUUUAAUAUUCAUAUCUUUUGUUUGAAAAAAGAGAAAAAAAAGAACAUUAAAUUAAAAAUUAAACUAUGGGACAGAGGAAAUUAAGCGGCAUGCGCAUCGAACUAAAAAAAUCAUCUUGUGUUCGGCUUAUUUAUUAACAAGUUGACUAGAUAAAUAGUUGAAAGAAAAUUAAAAAAGAAAUAUAGAAUAUCAAUUUAAUAAUUGAAAUUUAUAUAAUAUAGGUCUCUUUACAUUUGAGUUGGCCUAAAAAUCAAAUAGCUAAUAGGAAUUUGUAAUAUAUAUACACAUACACGAGCUAUAUCGAGCCGAAUACGAACUAACUUACGAACAAUGAGCUAUAUUGCCUAUCCUAGUUGACAUAACCUUUUUGAAAUUUUUGUAAUAAUUUUAAAAUAAAAUUAAUGAGAUAAAUUACUAUAACAAAAUAUGUUUUAGACAAUACUUUUUAGACGACGCUUUAUUCUAGCAUUUUUAAUAUUAGGCAUGUGCCGACAUCACAAUUAAAUGUCGCCAAUAAACAUAUUUUUAUCAAAUAUUGAUAAAAAUUUUCCGACGCUAUAUUAAAAUAUCAGUAUAUUUAUCCCGUCAAGUUUACAUGAGUGGAUGUUUUACACGUAUGUAUAGGAUGCA
RNAcentral lists this long non-coding RNA (801 nucleotides) under Ananas comosus (pineapple). RNAcentral describes it as "long non-coding RNA (ACOM_LNC031181)". The record is from RNAcentral. Lineage: Eukaryota; Viridiplantae; Streptophyta; Magnoliopsida; Poales; Bromeliaceae.